UGGGGAAUAUUGCACAAUGGAGGGAACUCUGAUGCAGCGACGCCGCGUGAGUGAUGAAGGACUUCGUUUCGUAAAACUCUGUUCUAUGGGAAGAAAAGGACUGUACCAUCGGAGAAAGCUCCGGCUAAAUACGUGCCAGCAGCCGCGGUAAUACGUAUGGAGCGAGCGUUGUUCGGAAUUAUUGGGCGUAAAGGGUACGCAGGCGGCUUUACAAGUUGGAUGUGAAAUAUUGUGGCUCAACCACAGACGUGCAUUCAAAACUGCAAAGCUUGAGUUAAAGAGAGGUAAGUGGAAUUCCUGGUGUAGCGGUGGAAUGCGUAGAUAUCCGGAGGAAUACCGGUGGCGAAGGCGACUUACUGGACUUAAACUGACGCUCAGGCACGAAAGCGUGGGGAGCAAACAGG
RNAcentral lists this ribosomal RNA (404 nucleotides) under Fusobacteriota bacterium. RNAcentral's name for it is "Fusobacteria bacterium partial 16S ribosomal RNA". It matches the Rfam family "Bacterial small subunit ribosomal RNA", at positions 355 to 776 of the family's 1533-position model. Lineage: Bacteria; Fusobacteriati; Fusobacteriota. The record is from RNAcentral.